This 273-nucleotide ribosomal RNA is filed under the name uncultured bacterium. Its description in RNAcentral is "partial 16S ribosomal RNA". It matches the Rfam family "Bacterial small subunit ribosomal RNA", at positions 524 to 796 of the family's 1533-position model. The record is from RNAcentral.
GACGAACCGUCCGAACGUUAUUCGGAAUUACUGGGCUUAAAGGGUGCGUAGGCGGUGCUGUAAGUCGGGUGUGAAAUCCCACAGCUCAACUGUGGAACUGCGCCCGAUACUGCAGUGCUAGAGGGAGACAGAGGUAAGCGGAACUGAUGGUGGAGCGGUGAAAUGCGUUGAUAUCAUCAGGAACACCGGUGGCGAAAGCGGCUUACUGGGUCUCUUCUGACGCUGAGGCACGAAAGCUAGGGUAGCGAACGGGAUUAGAAACCCCCGUAGUCC